UACGUAGGGGGCAAGCGUUAUCCGGAUUUACUGGGUGUAAAGGGAGCGUAGGCGGUUCAGCAAGUCAGAAGUGAAAGCCCGGGGCUCAACUCCGGGACUGCUUUUGAAACUGUUGAACUAGAUUGCAGGAGAGGUAAGUGGAAUUCCUAGUGUAGCGGUGAAAUGCGUAGAUAUUAGGAGGAACACCAGUGGCGAAGGCGGCUCACUGGACUGUAAAUGACGCUGAGGCUCGAAAGCGUGGGGAGCAAACAGG
RNAcentral lists this ribosomal RNA (253 nucleotides) under uncultured bacterium. RNAcentral's name for it is "partial 16S ribosomal RNA". It matches the Rfam family "Bacterial small subunit ribosomal RNA", at positions 524 to 776 of the family's 1533-position model. The record is from RNAcentral.